ACUCAAAGGAAUAGACGGGGGCCCGCACAAGCGGCGGAGCAUGUGGAUUAAUUCGAUGCAACGCGAAGAACCUUACCUGGGUUUGACAUGCACCGGACGCGCCCAGAGAUGGGCGUUCCCUUGUGGCCGGUGUGCAGGUGGUGCAUGGCUGUCGUCAGCUCGUGUCGUGAGAUGUUGGGUUAAGUCCCGCAACGAGCGCAACCCUCGUUCCAUGUUGCCAGCGGGUAAUGCCGGGGACUCAUGGGAGACUGCCGGGGUCAACUCGGAGGAAGGUGGGGAUGACGUCAAGUCAUCAUGCCCCUUAUGUCCAGGGCUUCACACAUGCUACAAUGGCCUAUACAGAGGGCUGCGAGACCGUGAGGUGGAGCGAAUCCCUUAAAGUAGGUCUCAGUUCGGAUCGGGGUCUGCAACUCGACCCCGUGAAGUCGGAGUCGCUAGUAAUCGCAGAUCAGCAACGCUGCGGUGAAUACGUUCCCGGGCCUUGUACACACCGCCCGU
This 498-nucleotide ribosomal RNA is filed under the name uncultured bacterium. Its description in RNAcentral is "partial 16S ribosomal RNA". It matches the Rfam family "Bacterial small subunit ribosomal RNA", at positions 899 to 1397 of the family's 1533-position model. The record is from RNAcentral.